GUGGGGAAUAUUGCACAAUGGGGGAAACCCUGAUGCAGCAACGCCGCGUGAGUGAUGAAGGUCUUCGGAUCGUAAAGCUCUGUCUUCAGGGACGAUAAUGACGGUACCUGAGGAGGAAGCCACGGCUAACUACGUGCCAGCAGCCGCGGUAAUACGUAGGUGGCGAGCGUUGUCCGGAUUUACUGGGCGUAAAGGGAGCGUAGGCGGAUUUUUAAGUGAGAUGUGAAAUACCCAGGCUCAACCUGGGGGCUGCAUUUCAAACUGGAAGUCUAGAGUGCAGGAGAGGAGAGUGGAAUUCCUAGUGUAGCGGUGAAAUGCGUAGAGAUUAGGAAGAACACCAGUGGCGAAGGCGACUCUCUGGACUGUAACUGACGCUGAGGCUCGAAAGCGUGGGGAGCAAACAGGAUUAGAUACCCGGGUAGUCC
This 425-nucleotide ribosomal RNA is filed under the name uncultured bacterium. RNAcentral's name for it is "bacterial SSU rRNA". It matches the Rfam family "Bacterial small subunit ribosomal RNA", at positions 354 to 796 of the family's 1533-position model. The record is from RNAcentral.